This 1451-nucleotide ribosomal RNA is filed under the name Puniceicoccales bacterium. Its description in RNAcentral is "partial 23S ribosomal RNA". It matches the Rfam family "Bacterial large subunit ribosomal RNA", at positions 1 to 1453 of the family's 2925-position model. Lineage: Bacteria; Pseudomonadati; Verrucomicrobiota; Opitutia; Puniceicoccales. The record is from RNAcentral.
AAUAAAAUGAAUAAGGGCAAUAAGUGGAUGCCUUGGUGAUAUCAGGCGACGAAGGACGUGGACAACUGCGAUAAGCCUCGGGGAGCGGUAAGCACGCUUUGAUCCGGGGAUUUCCGAAUGAGGAAACUCGAUCAGAUGAAAGUCUGGUCAGUGUAUGCUGAAUACAUAGGCAUACAUGGCGAACCUGCUGAAGUGAAACAUCUCAGUAAGCAGAGGAAAAGAAAGCGAAUGCGAUUUCCUGAGUAGUGGCGAGCGAAAAGGAAACAGUCUAAACCGUUGGGAUUUAUCCCGACGGGGUUGUAGGAGCCAAACGUUGGACGGUGGAUGAUAGAAGAAUCUUCUGGAAAGGAGAGUCAUAGAAGGUGAUAACCCUGUAAUCGAAAUCUGAAGCUGCCAUAUGGAAUUCCUAAGUAAUGCGGGAUGCGUGAAACCCUGCAUGAAUCUGCGCGGACCACCGCGUAAGACUAAAUACUCGAUAUCGACCGAUAGUGAACUAGUACCGCGAGGGAAAGGUGAAAAGAACCCCGUUGAGGGGAGUGAAAUAGUACCUGAAACUUAUUGCCUACAAGCGGUCGGAGCCUCCUAGUGGGGUGACGGCGUACCUUUUGCAUAAUGGGUCUGGGAGUCAAUAUUUGUAGCGAGCUUAAGGCUUUACUGGCUGGAGGCAUAGCGAAAGCGAGUCUGAAUAGGGCGAAUAGUUGCAGGUAUUGCACCCGAAGCGGAGGUGAUCUACCCAUGGCCAGGUUGAAGCUCGAGUAAAAUCGAGUGGAGGACCGAACCGGUGGACCUUGAGACGUCCUCGGAUGAGCUGUGGGUAGGAGCGAAAGACUAAUCAAACCCCGUAAUAGCUGGUUCUCUUCGAAAUAUAUUUAGGUAUAGCCUUGUGCGCUUAUCAUUGAGGGUAGAGCACUGAAAAGGUUAGGGUCCACACCAGGAUACCGACCCUUAUCAAACUCCGAAUACCGAUGAACGUAGCACGGGAGUCAGACUGUGGGGGAUAAGCUCCAUGGUCGAGAGGGAAAGAGCCCAGACCGUCGAUUAAGGCCCCUAAAUCAUUGCUAAGUGGAUUAAAGGAGGUGAAUUCACGCGGACAAUAGGGAUGUUGGCUUAGAAGCAGCCACCAUUUAAACAGUGCGUAAUAGCUGACCUAUCGAGUGAAUUUGCGCCUAAGAUGAUCGGGACUAAAGCAAUGUGCCGAAAUCACGGACUCGUCUUGGACGAGUGGUAGAAGAGCGUUCCAACAGGGCAGAAGCCGAAGGGGCAACCGACGGUGGACUGGUUGGAAGUGAGAAUCCAGACAUGAGUAACGAUAAACACGGUGAAAAUCCGUGUCGCCGCAAGGAUAAGGUUUCCAGGGCAAAGUUCGUCCGCCCUGGGUCAGUCGAGAGCUAAGGCGAGGCCGUAAGGAGUAGUCGAUGCACGACAGAUUAAUAUUUCUGUACCACCUUAUA